CCUGAGAAACCCAAAAGAUCGAAUGGGGAGAUUCAUCGUCAGCGGCUCCGGUGCGUGUGCGGUUCGGGAUUUCGCGGGGCCUCGGCCUCGCGGGACUCGUCCGCAUUGUUUUUUAUGCCGGAGCUCGUCGGCGUGCACUUCUCCCCUAGUAGGACGUCGCGACCCGUUGGGUGUCGGUCUACGACCCGGGUGGGAGUCUGUCGUGCGUCGCGCUUCACGGUGCGUCAUGCGGCAGACCCCCGGAUGUCCGACCGACUGCCCGGCGGUACYCGCACGGUAUCGGGCCGCAAUCUUUGAACUGCGUCCGGCUUGUCGCAAGCGCGGUACAAGUUUUUCUCGGACGUACGGACCUCGUGCCGUCGCCGGGCUUGUCCAGCUGUUGGUCGACUUUGCUCUCGGACUGGCUCUUAUAUGUUACCGGUCGGCGACGCUACUGCUUUGGGUACUUUCAGGACCCGUCUUGAAACACGGA
This 472-nucleotide ribosomal RNA is filed under the name Aneuclis sp. JM521. RNAcentral's name for it is "eukaryotic LSU rRNA". Lineage: Eukaryota; Metazoa; Arthropoda; Insecta; Hymenoptera; Ichneumonidae. The record is from RNAcentral.